CCUGGUGGCCAGAGCAAGCGGGAACCACCCGAUCCCAUCCCGACCUCGGAAGUGAAACCGCUUAGCGCCGAUGAUAGUGCAGAUUACCUGUGCGAAAGUAGGGAACUGCCAGGC
Molecule: ribosomal RNA, 114 nt
Filed under: Methylococcaceae bacterium
Lineage: Bacteria; Pseudomonadati; Pseudomonadota; Gammaproteobacteria; Methylococcales; Methylococcaceae
Source: RNAcentral